AUUGAACGCUGGCGGCAGGCCUAACACAUGCAAGUCGAGCGGAUGAAGGGAGCUUGCUCCUGGAUUCAGCGGCGGACGGGUGAGUAAUGCCUAGGAAUCUGCCUGGUAGUGGGGGAUAACGUCCGGAAACGGGCGCUAAUACCGCAUACGUCCUGAGGGAGAAAGUGGGGGAUCUUCGGACCUCACGCUAUCAGAUGAGCCUAGGUCGGAUUAGCUAGUUGGUGGAGUAAAGGCCUACCAAGGCGACGAUCCGCAACUGGUCUGAGAGGAUGAUCAGUCACACUGGAACUGAGACACGGUCCAGACUCCUACGGGAGGCAGCAGUGGGGAAUAUUGGACAAUGGGCGAAAGCCUGAUCCAGCCAUGCCGCGUGUGUGAAGAAGGUCUUCGGAUUGUAAAGCACUUUAAGUUGGGAGGAAGGGCAGUAAGUUAACACCUUGCUGUUUUGACGUUACCAACAGAAUAAGCACCGGCUAACUUCGUG
Molecule: ribosomal RNA, 484 nt
Filed under: uncultured bacterium
Lineage: Bacteria
Description: partial 16S ribosomal RNA
Rfam family: Bacterial small subunit ribosomal RNA
Source: RNAcentral